UACGUAGGGUGCGAGCGUUGUUCGGAAUUACUGGGCGUAAAGGGCUCGUAGGUGGCCAACUAAGUCAGACGUGAAAUCCCCAGGCUUAACUUGGGAACUGCGUCUGAUACUGGGAGGCUUGAGUGCGGGAGAGGGAUGUGGAAUUCCAGGUGUAGCGGUGAAAUGCGUAGAUAUCUGGAGGAACACCGGUGGCGAAGGCGGCAUCCUGGACCGACACUGACGCUGAGGCGCGAAAGCUAGGGGAGCAAACGGG
This 253-nucleotide ribosomal RNA is filed under the name uncultured bacterium. RNAcentral's name for it is "partial 16S ribosomal RNA". It matches the Rfam family "Bacterial small subunit ribosomal RNA", at positions 524 to 776 of the family's 1533-position model. The record is from RNAcentral.